RNAcentral lists this ribosomal RNA (440 nucleotides) under uncultured bacterium. RNAcentral describes it as "partial 16S ribosomal RNA". It matches the Rfam family "Bacterial small subunit ribosomal RNA", at positions 338 to 795 of the family's 1533-position model. The record is from RNAcentral.
CCUACGGGCGGCAGCAGUGGGGAAUAUUGGACAAUGGGCGAGACCCUGAUGCAGCGACGCCGCGUGAGUGAAGACGUCCUUCGGUGCGUAAAGCUCUAUCAGCAGGGGAGAAAAUGACGGUACCUGACUACGAAGCCCCGGCUAACUACGUACCAGCAGCCGCGGUCAUACGUAGGGGGCAAGCGUUAUCCGGAUUUACUGGGUGUAAAGGGAGCGUAGACGGCAGCGCAAGUCUGGAGUGAAAUCUCAUGGCUUAACCAUGGAACUGCUUUGGAAACUGUGCAGCUGGAGUGCAGGAGAGGUAAGCGGAAUUCCUAGUGUAGCGGUGAAAUGCGUAGAUAUUAGGAGGAACACCAGUGGCGAAGGCGGCUUACUGGACUGUAACUGACGUUGAGGCUCGAAAGCGUGGGGAGCAAACAGGAUUAGAUACCCGUGUAGUC